RNAcentral lists this transfer RNA (73 nucleotides) under Camelus bactrianus (Bactrian camel). It matches the Rfam family "tRNA". From Rfam's summary of the family: Transfer RNA (tRNA) molecules are approximately 80 nucleotides in length. Their secondary structure includes four short double-helical elements and three loops (D, anti-codon, and T loops). Lineage: Eukaryota; Metazoa; Chordata; Mammalia; Artiodactyla; Camelidae. RNAcentral also lists the same sequence under 2 other names. The record is from Rfam by way of RNAcentral.
GGAGGUGUAGCUCAAGUGGUAGAGUGUAUGCUUAGCAUGCACAAGGUCCUGGGUUCAAUCCCCAGUACCACCC